Long non-coding RNA from Scomber scombrus (Atlantic mackerel), 176 nucleotides. RefSeq lists it as uncharacterized. Lineage: Eukaryota; Metazoa; Chordata; Actinopteri; Scombriformes; Scombridae. The transcript has 3 exons. The record is from RefSeq and is a predicted model, not a curated record.
CAGAGACAUACUUAUUAUUGCUGUUGCUGUGAUUCUCGUUGUGACCACUGUUAUUGCCAUUACGAGGCUCAAUAAUAAUAAUACGCGGGCACCAACUACUGACUGUGGGGAGAACAUACAGGUGGCACCAACAACUCUGAAUACAGAGAGCGUAAACUGGCUCAUCUGUGAUGAUC